This 937-nucleotide long non-coding RNA is filed under the name Linum usitatissimum (flax). RNAcentral describes it as "long non-coding RNA (LUSI_LNC007285)". The record is from RNAcentral. Lineage: Eukaryota; Viridiplantae; Streptophyta; Magnoliopsida; Malpighiales; Linaceae.
AUAGGAUAAAAAUUAGGCCCAAAUGGAGAAGUGUUGCAUCCCCUUGAAAUGAGUGCAUGUACAUCACACCUCCUACGGUGGUUGCCAAAGCUCCGAGUGAACCCAAAAUAGGCCUUGGACUUGGAUCUACCAAAUGAUAAGAAUUCCUCUUAAGAUUCAAUCAUAAACUACUUUGCCAAGGUUGUAUGUAAACCCCCCCACCCCCUAAAGUAGUAAAGAAGGGCUCUUUGGGGUCUAAUUUUUAUAUUCUAUCUGACAGGAAAAACAAAUAGGAAGGGAUGGUUCUUUCAUUGCAUUGAUAGAAGUCUAACUAGAAAAAGAUCUUACUAUUACUAUCAAUUUAGGAAGAGAAUCAGAAUGAAAAGAAGCCCAAAAAAAAGCAAAAAAGAACAUAACCUCCGAUACGAUGAACAGAAUAAAACCAUAUCGAGGUCCUAAUUGUACGAUUUUGGUAUGAUGUCCUUCCAACGUGGACUCACGUAGAACAUCGCGCCACCAUACAAACAUAGUAUAUAGGAUAAAAAUUAGGCCCAAAUGGAGAAGUGUUGCACCCCCUUGAAAUGAGUGCAUGUACAUCACACCUCCUACGGUGGUUGCCAAAGCUCCGAGUGAACCCAAAAUAGGCCUUGGACUUGGAUCUACCAAAUGAUAAGAAUUCCUCUUAAGAUUCAAUCAUAAACUACUUUGCCAAGGUUGUAUGUAAACCCCCCCACCCCCUAAAGUAGUAAAGAAGGGCUCUUUGGGGUCUAAUUUUUAUCCUAUAUCUGACAGGACAAACAAAUAGGAAGGGAUGGUUCUUUCAUUGCAUUGAUAGAAGUCUAACUAGAAAAAGAUCUUACUAUCAAUUCAAAAAGAUCUCUCUAUUACUAUCAAUUUAGGAAGAGAAUCGUUGGGUUAACCGACGAACUACAUGGGAGGAUCUUCUUUCUUUUCUUUU